UAAGGAAUAUUGGUCAAUGGACGCAAGUCUGAACCAGCCACGCCGCGUGAAGGAUGAAGGCGCUCUGCGUCGUAAACUUCUUUUUUCAAGGAAGAAAAGAUUUGUUUCUACAGAUUUUGACGGUACUUGAUGAAUAAGCACCGGCUAACUCCGUGCCAGCAGCCGCGGUAAUACGGAGGGUGCAAGCGUUAUCCGGAUUUACUGGGUUUAAAGGGUGCGUAGGCUGACUGAUAAGUCAGUGGUGAAAUCCUCGGGCUUAACCCGGGAAUUGCCGUUGAUACUAUUAGUCUUGAAUAUAGUUGAGGUGAGCAGAAUGCGUGGUGUAGCGGUGAAAUGCUUAGAUAUCACGCAGAAUACCGAUUGCGAAGGCAGCUCGCUAAACUAUUAUUGACGCUGAGGCACGAAAGCGUGGGGAUCAAACAGGAUUAGAUACCCCGGUAGUCC
Molecule: ribosomal RNA, 444 nt
Filed under: uncultured bacterium
Lineage: Bacteria
Description: bacterial SSU rRNA
Rfam family: Bacterial small subunit ribosomal RNA
Source: RNAcentral